This 548-nucleotide ribosomal RNA is filed under the name uncultured Glomeromycotina. Its description in RNAcentral is "SSU rRNA". It matches the Rfam family "Eukaryotic small subunit ribosomal RNA", at positions 548 to 1098 of the family's 1831-position model. RNAcentral also lists the same sequence under 1 other name. Lineage: Eukaryota; Fungi; Glomeromycota. The record is from RNAcentral.
UUGGAGGGCAAGUCUGGUGCCAGCAGCCGCGGUAAUUCCAGCUCCAAUAGCGUAUAUUAAAGUUGUUGCAGUUAAAAAGCUCGUAGUUGAAUUUCGAGACCGGUUUACUGGUCGUGCUUUUGUACGUACUGGUAUUAUUGGUUUCUCCUUUCUGACGAAUCUUAAUGCCAUUAAUUUGGUGUUUUGGGGAAUCAGGACUGUUACUUUGAAAAAAUUAGAGUGUUUAAAGCAGGCUCACGCUUGAAUACAUUAGCAUGGAAUAACGAAAUAGGACGUUUGAUUUUAUUUUGUUGGUUUCUAGGAUCGACGUAAUGAUUAAUAGGGAUAGUUGGGGGCAUUAGUAUUCAAUUGUCAGAGGUGAAAUUCUUGGAUUUAUUGAAGACUAACUACUGCGAAAGCAUUUGCCAAGGAUGUUUUCAUUAAUCAAGAACGAAAGUUAGGGGAUCGAAGACGAUCAGAUACCGUCGUAGUCUUAACCAUAAACUAUGCCGACUAGGGAUCGGAUGAUGUUAAUUUUUUAAUGACUCAUUCGGCGCCUUACGGGAAAC